ACGUGCCAGCAGCCGCGGUAAUACGUAGGUGGCAAGCGUUAUCCGGAUUUAUUGGGCGUAAAGAGAACGCAGGCGGUCUUUUAAGUCUGAUGUGAAAGCCUUCGGCUCAACCGUGGAGGGUCAUUGGAAACUGGGGAACUUGAGUGCAGAAGAGGAGAGUGGAAUUCCAUGUGUAGCGGUGAAAUGCGCAGAGAUAUGGAGGAACACCAGUGGCGAAGGCGGCUCUCUGGUCUGUAACUGACGCUGAUGUGCGAAAGCGUGGGGAUCAAACAG
RNAcentral lists this ribosomal RNA (273 nucleotides) under uncultured bacterium. RNAcentral's name for it is "partial 16S ribosomal RNA". It matches the Rfam family "Bacterial small subunit ribosomal RNA", at positions 503 to 775 of the family's 1533-position model. The record is from RNAcentral.